RNAcentral lists this ribosomal RNA (495 nucleotides) under uncultured bacterium. RNAcentral describes it as "partial 16S ribosomal RNA". It matches the Rfam family "Bacterial small subunit ribosomal RNA", at positions 28 to 507 of the family's 1533-position model. The record is from RNAcentral.
GACGAACGCUGGCGGCGUGCCUAAUACAUGCAAGUGGAACGCUGAAGGAGGAGCUUGCUUCUCUGGAUGAGUUGCGAACGGGUGAGUAACGCGUAGGUAACCUGCCUGGUAGCGGGGGAUAACUAUUGGAAACGAUAGCUAAUACCGCAUAAGAGUAGAUGUUGCAUGACAUUUGCUUAAAAGGUGCAAUUGCAUCACUACCAGAUGGACCUGCGUUGUAUUAGCUAGUUGGUGAGGUAACGGCUCACCAAGGCAACGAUACAUAGCCGACCUGAGAGGGUGAUCGGCCACACUGGGACUGAGACACGGCCCAGACUCCUACGGGAGGCAGCAGUAGGGAAUCUUCGGCAAUGGACGGAAGUCUGACCGAGCAACGCCGCGUGAGUGAAGAAGGUUGUCGGAUCGUAAAGCUCGGUUGUAAGAGAAGAACGAGUGUGAGAGUGGAAAGUUCACACUGUGACGGUAUCUUACCAGAAAGGGACGGCUAACUACGCG